UACGAAGGGUGCAAACGUUGCUCGGAAUUAUUGGGCGUAAAGCGCACGUAGGCGGCUUGGCAAGUCGGAUGUGAAAGCCCUCGGCUCAACCAAGGAAGUGCAUCCGAAACUGCUGAGCUUGAGUACUUAAGAGGAUCGCGGAAUUCCCGGUGUAGAGGUGAAAUUCGUAGAUAUCGGGAGGAACACCAGAGGCGAAGGCGGCUACCUGGACAAUUGCUGACACUCAGGCACGAAAGCGUGGGGAGCAAAAGGG
This 253-nucleotide ribosomal RNA is filed under the name uncultured bacterium. RNAcentral describes it as "partial 16S ribosomal RNA". It matches the Rfam family "Bacterial small subunit ribosomal RNA", at positions 524 to 776 of the family's 1533-position model. The record is from RNAcentral.